Small nuclear RNA from Oryctolagus cuniculus (rabbit), 106 nucleotides. Its record names the gene U2. It matches the Rfam family "U2 spliceosomal RNA". From Rfam's summary of the family: U2 is a small nuclear RNA (snRNA) component of the spliceosome (involved in pre-mRNA splicing). Complementary binding between U2 snRNA (in an area lying towards the 5' end but 3' to hairpin I) and the branchpoint sequence (BPS) of the intron results the bulging out of an unpaired adenosine, on the BPS, which initiates a nucleophilic attack at the intronic 5' splice site, thus starting the first of two transesterification reactions that mediate splicing. NCBI's taxonomy places the organism in Eukaryota, Metazoa, Chordata, Mammalia, Lagomorpha, Leporidae. The record is from Ensembl.
AUCGCUUCUCGGCCUUUUGGCUAAGAUCAAGUGUAGUAUCUGUUCUUAUUAGUUUAAUUGACACGAUUACUCUUCAGCUUUUAAAUUUAACUGAAAAGUAAUCCCU